AGAGUCAUAGUUUUACUUCUGUAUUUAAAUUGAUUCACUGCUCACCAUUGGUCUUAUCACAGUUUCUACAUCAUUUAUUGCCCACUUUCUAUCAUUAAGUACAAGGAGGGUCCAUAGUACUCCUAUUCCAUGAAUUCUUUCCUAUGGAAAGUUUUCAGUUGAUUGUCUGCCUCCAAGAUUAGACUGAGUGGGCAUCGUUCUUAGGUCUUAUUUUACCUUGUUUUUAGAGGUGACAAACUGGUUACCAACCAGCCAGGCCAGCUAACUUUGGCGGAGGCCAUCGAGAGGACAUGACCUUGGGUCCACCCUUAAGCUGGACGCGGGCAACCAGAGGCUCCUCCCUUGUCUUUGGAAUGUACAUUCUGCCCACCAUUAUCACACUGUUUCAAGGACGUACGCUUGAGAGAGUGUGUUGCUGUUGAGGCUAUUUGGUCUGAAUACGUGACUAUAGCCGGUUAAGGCCUCUGUAUAAACUUAAGAUUCUGACAGCAGGUGCAGAGAUGUACGCGGCUUCUCUCGCAGUUGCUGAAGACAAGUCUUGUAAAAUCCUUCCUCUUCUGUUUCUUUGGCUUGGUUGUUGUCUUUUGGCUCGACACCCACCAAGAGGCGAACCCAGUUUCAGAUAACAGAGCUCUGCAUGUGACAUCUCCUAUCAUACAGGACUUUUGAUACACAGGUUACAUUUCUGUGUAGUAAUAUCACCAGGCUUAUGCUGACCACAAAUGCUACUUUUCAAUAAGAAGCUUCUCCUGACUCCAAGCAAGGCCCCUAUCCCUUUCCUUGGAUCAUAUAAGGUUCAUGCUGCCUCACUUAAUUUCACGUCUGUGUGGAUUCCAGAUUGCUGACCGAAAGGAUAAGGAGAUGAAGAAUGUAAAAGAAACGUGAAAAGAUGUGGAGAAUAGAACUAGAAAUUCUUAAACUCAUCAAUAGUAGUGACAAGAAGUAAGAAAUGGAUAACCUGGAAAAAAGGAACUAUAUAAAAAAUAAUCAUCUAAAAUAUUUCAGGUCUGAGGAAAGAUGAUUCUUCAGAUUGAAAUGAUGCACAAAUAUUUCUGAAUUAAAGAAAGCCCAAACUUGACUACCUUGUUAAAAAUUUUCAACACAGAAAUAAAGAAGUCUAAAAGCUACCAGAGAGAUUAUACACAAAGGAAUGACCUCCAGAUUGCUGGUAUACUUUUAUUAAGAAUUUUGAACAUAAGAAAGCAAUAGAACAAUGUAUUUGAAAUACUGAGAAAAAAAUUAACACAAUGAUUCUGACUCAUUCUGAUUAUCACUUCAAGAUCAAGAGUAAAGAUAUUUUCAACCUAUAAGUAUUUAAAAAGUUUACCCCAUGCAGUAUUUGUUCAAAAUAUCACUAGAAAAUACACUGAAGCAGGAAGAAAAAAUAAAGCUAAGAUAAAAAAUAAACAAAUAAUAAAAUAAUUAAAAAUAAAAUAAUAAUUAAAAAAUAAAAAUAAUAAAAAAGAGUUCGGAAGGAUUAUAUGACAUGUGUUAUCAUUUUUAACUGAAAUGUAGGUUUUCAUACAGUAUCAUUCAUAUAGAUAUAGACAGAGAUACAACCUAAGAGUGAAAGUUCACUCUUAAAUGUCAAAACACAUCUUUAAUUUUAUCAAGAAAAUGAAAUGUUUGCAGUGGAGAAAACUCUUAAUGGCCAUUGUCAAUUAAUAUUCAUUGUUAAUGAAACACAUAUCCAAUUGAUAGAAUAAAGAAUUCUAUGUCUUAAUUGAGGUAUCCUAUAAAAAUUCAUGUUAUGACAAAUGCAAACUUUUUCACAUAUGUGAAAGUAUAUCAAGUAUUAAAUGUCCAGUGUUAUGGGAGUCAUACAGAAUUCCUUUAAAGUUAGUAUAUUAUCGUAGAGACACUAAAUAAAUGAAAUAAAAAAUCAAGUUGAAUAAAAAAUAACAAUGCCAAUGAUGUCUCAAAGCAAUAUCAAGGUUAAACGCCAAUCACAUGAGAGCUAGGACUACUUGUCUCUUUGAAAGAUAACUAUAUGUAAAAUUUUGGUACACCUCUUAUGCAAUAAAAAAUAAUAAACUAUUUACAAUGUACUGUUAAACAUAACAUCUAAAAGGAAAGUAAAUAUUGUCUGGGCAGAGCCACAAACUAGUCAUUUGUUGUUAAAUUUCCAUGUUAUGCAUAACUAUCCCAUUAGUUUCCUUGGUGGGUAGAUGAAAUUUCUUUUUUUUUUUUUAAGUUUAUUUAUUUAUUUUGAGAGAGAGAGAGAGAUAGAGAGAGUGCGCACAUGCGCCUUGGCAGGGGAGGGGCAGAGAGAGAGGGGGAGAGAAUGCUCAAGCAGGCUCUGCAUUACUAAUGCAGAGCCAACACGAGGCUGAAACUCAGGAUCUGUGAGAUCAUGACCUGAGCUACAAUCAAGAGUGAGAUGCUUAAACUACUGAACCACCCAGUUGUCCCAGUAUGUGAGAUUUCUGAUGUUUCCUCACUGUAUAUCUAGCAGCCACCGCUUCUCCAUUUCCACCAAAGCUUUCCAAAUCCAUCCUUCUCAGUUACUUUAAAUACACCCUAAAUACACUAUUGCUGGAUUUUUCUUCAUGAAUCACACCACUGAGCAUCCUAUACAAAACCCCGCAAAAGCUAUUUGUUCUUUAUAACUUUAGGUCUAAAUUCCUUAGUGAGGAUUUCAAUACCCUAAACACUGCCCUCUAAUUAUUGUCUCAACUGCUAAUUAUGUUCUUUACAAAUUGAAAUGUAAGUGUACUCCUUAUAUACCUUUUACUUCCAAGACAUUAAAUUUGCCCCUUUGUUCAUGGCACUUCCUUUUCUGGGAGCUUCAUUCCCUACCUAUUCACAAGUCCAACUUGUACUUAAUGCUCCAAGGUUCAGAGCAAGUGACACCUUCUCCAUCAACCAUGCAUUGAUUCCUGAGAUGGAAGUUCUUUCUGUCUUCUCUGGAAUACCAUUUUUUUUCAUGGAGAGCAAAAAAAAAAGUCUUUCAUAUUUGUUCAGUCCCUAAUAUGUGUUAUAACUAUAUUAGGGACUUCACGUAUAGUGUCUCAUUAACAAAAAAAAUACAUAUUUUAUAGCUGAAGAAAAUGAGUCUGAUAUGGGUUAAGUACCCCAUCCAAAUCGAUCUAUCUCAUAAAUUGAGGAAGUGACCAAAGUUGUCAAAGGGAGGGAUCUUAUAUUCUUGUAUAUUAAGCUCCAGAGAUGUGUAUCUGUGCAUGAUUUGUUAAGCAUAGAUGAAGUUUAGGAAUGAAGGUGGUAGGUGUAGAGAAAACAUUAAUGUAGUUAAAUUCAUAAAAAGAAUUGUAUACAAGAUCAAGAGAAAUUCUGUGCUGAGUAAUAAGGAGGAUCAACAAAAAGUGAUUACAGGAAGAGGAUGGGCAGACCUAUUCCAUUCUUAUCUCUAGAAGAGUGAGUUUCCCCCCAGGUACUGAUGAUUUUAACAAUCAAACUUCAGGCUUGGUUGAUUUGCAUUCCACUGAAAUUCUGAAUCUGACAUUCAAGCUAAUGUUUGCCCAAAUGAUUUUCAUUACAUUACUUCUAACUUUCUGAAAAUGUGCAACUACCUAUCUAUAAGGUACCUUUAAAGCGGUAUCCUUAUCUGACAUUAAUCCUUCAUCUCCUAGUAGGAGCUUCAAAAAUGUUUGAGUAGCUUAAACAUUUUUGGAUUAUUAUCUAGGCUUGGAAACAGUGAUAAUAACCUCCAAGUGACUGUGACCCAAACCUGAUGGUAACAUAAGGUUCUGGAGAACAGGCAGAUACUGACCAUUUUAUCAUUCCAUCAACGUUAGUCAAAAAGGAAGACAGGCAGAAAGCCAAUUUUUCAUUUGUGCUCAGAAUAACACUUAGAUUAGUGGUGGACAAUCUAACUAAAUCCCUUAAAACAAUUUUGAAUGGAUUUCAGAUAAAGUCUUCAAAAGCCACAUUAUCUUACUUCCCUAUAAUACCUUUAUAGUUACAAAAGUAAAAAUGUGUUAUUUCAUUUAAUAUACCUAGUUAUCUUAGAGUAUUUAAGUAUUUUAUAUAUUAAAAUAUUUUGCAGCUAAUUUAUAAUCAGCAGAUAAAAACAUAUUACACAGAUAUUUCUAUAAAACAAGUCAGCGAUAUAUGGAAUUAUGGUGGAUCACACUGUGUUUUCAACUUUAUCCUGCGAAAUUAUAGUCAUGAAGCAAGAUCAGAGCUCUCUGCAUUUGAUUUGCAUGGCCCUAAGCCUAGCAAGGUUAGCAGGAUAUAGAAAGGGAGAAAUGAUUGCCUCAUUUUCAGGUGAGGCUUCAUGGCAACGGAUACCACAAGUGAAAGGCCUUCAUGCAAGAUUUAGAAAAAGAGAUGGAGAACAGCUAGUUACGUGACAUUUUGCUGGCCACUCCCAGCCUAUACAAUAGGAUUGAAGAAAAUAAGGGCAGAAUUGGAGGUUAGGAGAAGGUUCUGGAGAGAGUUGGUGGGUUUUUAAGUCCCACCACUCACCACCUUCACUCUAAGAGGUAAUAUAGGAAAUGGUUUCCUCUCAUCAGCCUGUGAAAAGGGUUUCAGUGGGGCUUAGUGCAACCAAUUGGAGAGCUUAAUAUAUGGCCUCACAAUUUUACAGACACAGUGAACAGUCUGACUCACCUGGCAAGUUGAAAGGGCCAAAGACUGACUGGAUCUUUUGAUGAUGAACACAGAAGAAAUGCUACAUUGGAGACUUCUGGAAUUUGUUGGAGCAAAUUUGAGUAUUUCCCAAUGUCUAUACAUGGGCUACAUACAACAGCGUACUGGUAUGUUGUUCUUAGAAACUAUAGGGAAAUACUGACACUAAUGUCGAGGGAAAAGCUCUGGAUUAUCAGAACCUAAGAACCAAGCUAUAAAUACCAGAUCCACUUGUCUACAUCAAAAGAAGGAUCUACAGGUAAAAGGUGCUGAGUUAAGAGAAAAUUUUUUCAAGAGACCUUGAAGAUACUCGUGAAAAGAAGUAGUUUAAACAGCUCCAAGUGCUAGGUGGGUAAGCCAGUGCCACCUUGGAUGUUGCUGGUCAAACAAGACCUUUCCUGAUAUCAUUCCUUCCCCUGCAGUUGAUAAGAUGAAGAACAAAGAGAAACCUAUGCAAGGAAAAUGAGAAGAUGCCAAAUAUGCCCUUUGCCAUUUCAGUUAUCUAUAAAAUUGAGAGAAAAAAAGAGUAUUUUUAAGUGAAUUUUCAAGAGUUGAUUAUUAAUAAAACUGAGUAUCUGAAUUUUUUGAACCAAUACUAUAUUUUACCUAAGGGACAGCAAAGACUUCAUGGACUUUGCCUGGAUUUUCAUUCAGAGGAUAAACUAGUGCCUUGGAUUAAAUUAAAUUUAAAUUUAAAUUUAAAUUAAAGCUGAUUUCUAUUAUACCAUUGGAUACCUCUGGUACAUUAUUAGUUUCAAAGGCACAUUAGAAGAAAAUAAUUUUUAAAUGCUUUCCAUAAACAGUUUGUCUGUACUUAACAAUGGAUUCUCAACCAAUAUGUGAGGACUCUUUUACAAUGGUGAUGCCCCUUUUCCAUUGUAAUUAUUGGGAGGCUCAUUACUUGCAUUCAUUUUGGAAAAUUUCUAGAAAUAUAAUAACAUGUUUUCUGAAGUCCAUUGUUAUUUUCAGAGUUGAUAUAAACUUCCUUUCUAAUGAACACUGACAAGGUAAACCCUAAUAUGCCAGAAACAAUAGAACAUAUCUUCAAUGCUGAAACUCAUCUGAAAUUCAUUUUGCUCCAAAUUAACACUAAAUGUCACUUUGGUCAUAUUGAAGUGAUACUAUCUAAUAAAUAGGACUAUUUUUAGUUAAUUUUAAAGUAGUCAUCAUUGUAACAGUAUAAAUGAACUUAAAAAAAGAGAGCUUAAUUUCUAUUGUUAUUUCUUUUUGUUAAUAAAAUCCAACCUCUGUCAAGAGUUUUCUUUAUUGUUUUUGCAGUGUAGCAAAGUACACAUUGCAUAUCUCUGCAGUAUUUAACAUGCUUUGGUAAUACCCUGGAACCUUAUUGUAGCACACUGAACAAUGGAUCAAGAUUUGGCAUAAGGAGGCUAUUUCCUUGGUAUCACCUAAGGAAAUCUAUUUACUGGAGGACCAAAGGAUCUUGUUAAUAAGACCUAUAAGGCAGACAACCUGGACUCAGAGGAUAGAGGUAUUGGAAGUCUUUACUAUAAGUAUACCAUGGUUUCUCAGUUUCUCCUUUACUUCUAAAUCAUUUGCCUUCAGGAACCCUAUUUAAAUUUUUUUAUAAGGUGCACCUGGGUGGUUCAAAUGGUUAAAUGUCCUACUUCAGCUCAGGUCAUGAUAUCAUGGUUCAUGAAUCUGAGCCCUGUAUUGGGGCUCUGUGCUGACACCUCAGAGCCUGGAGCCUGCUUCAGGUUCUGUGUCUCCCUCUCUCUCUGCCCCUCCUCCACUUACACUCUGUCUCUCUCUCUCUCGAAAAUAAAUAAACCCUAAGAAAUAUAAAAAUAAAAAUAAAUAAAAUUUUUAUAAGUUUAUUUAUUUUUUUUGAGAGAGAGGGAAAGAACAUGAGUGGGGGAAGGGCAGAGAGAGGGGGAGAGAGAGAAUCCCAAGCAGGCUCUGUGCUGUCAAAGCAGAGCCCAAUGCUGGGCUUGAUCUCAUGAACCAUGAAAUCAUGGCCUGAGCUGAAAUCAAGAGUAGGAUGCUUAACUGACUGAGCCACCCAGGCACCCCCAGGGACCCAAUUUAAAAUUAACAAUUGACAUUCCUCUACUCAGUUUAUCUUUUUUCCAAAAUGCAUGUUCUUAAAUUAUAUUUUUCUACUAAAUUUGGAAAAUUCUAUUGAAGAUAGUAAUAUUCUAUAUUUACUCACUUGAAAAUAGCACAUAGUUGAAUGUAAAAUAGCAAAAAUAAGACUAGAGGAGAGAGACAAUUUUUCUGUUAACUUUGGUUUAUCUGUUAUGUAAGUAUAGCACUGCCAUUACACUGAAUCAACAAUAUGACACAGAUUCAUCAUUAAGCCUCAUUAAGAGGUUAGAACUAGCGGGAAUUUUUUCAAAUGAAUGACAUGUUUUACAAGGAAGGAGAGAUAAUUUUGAGAAGGUUGUACCCUUGAUAUGCUUUAAUAAGGGUAUCUAAAAUAGAAUUUAGUGGGGAAAAAAGGGAGCUGGAACAGAUAAGAGGGAAAAACAGCAAGGUUUACUUGCUUGAUGACCUUAGCAGAUAAAAAAAGAAUUUUGAGGAGUCAAAAAUUUUGAAGUUCAGAGACAAGGAUAAUUUUAUGUACUGCUAAGAAUAAUCAACUUGGGAAUAAUAUAUACAUGGAAGGUGUGAUGAGACAUUCAUAUAUAGACUUUGCAAAAGAAGUAGGGAUUAUUCUAAAGAAGAGAGCAUGAUAGUCUAAGGUCAUCUAAGAUUAUGUAUGCGAAGAUACUAACUAGAACCUGGAGUUGUAAUCAUGGUCCAUGGAAAGUGAUGAAAGUACUCAUGCUUUAUGGAGAAUGAUUAACUUCCUCAUGUUAAUUUUAUUCUCACUAGAAACAGAAGGUGGGCAUCCUGCACUCUUACCAGAGUCCAUGCACUGUUAACCAGUUAAAUAAUCUUUGUCACUUCAGGAAAAAACAUGUUCCAUUCCUCUACUUCUCCUUCCGUGGCCCUGACAUUUAAGUGACUAGAACAGGAAAAAGGUUGUUUAUAUCCAAUUUCUCUCAUUCUUCACUUUCUAUCACUGCAAAUUAUUUUUUGAAAAAUUUUGACCUCUUUUUACCAGUAUGAUCAGUUGUGAUACAAUAGUUUUCACAGCAUUUUAUAUUUUAAGGUGAUUUAAUUUUGGAUAGCAAUAUGAGACCAUAGUUAACAACCCCAAAAUAUAGGUGAAAAUCUCUCUUCCAUCCCAGUUCCCCAUCAACCAGCCCUGUUCUUCAAUACUGCCAAUAGUAAACAUUGUUACUAGUUCCUACCCUCCCUUUUAUUUACUUCCAGAGUGUCUUUAUGAAUAUACAUACAAAUAUAAAUACAGAUUAUGUCCCACCAUUUUAACAAAAACUCAUGUCUAUUAUACACAUCAUUUUGUAUCUUGCUUUUUAUUACUUAACAAUAUUCCUAUAUGUAGAAAAUGUCAUAAUCCUUUUGUAUAUCUUUCUUUUUGGUGUAAUUUGUUUAACUAAUCCUCAAAUGACAGACAUUCAGUUUAUUUCCCAGUGUUGUCACUACAAAUAAUGAUAAAAUGAAUAAACUUAUACAUUACCAUUUCCUAUUUCUGCAAAUAAAUAUGUAGAUUAAACUCCAAUAAUAGAGAUGGUUUUUCUGGUUUUUCAUUUCUACAGACCAAAAACAGAGUCAAUCUAAAAUG
Molecule: long non-coding RNA, 8236 nt
Organism: Acinonyx jubatus (cheetah)
Lineage: Eukaryota; Metazoa; Chordata; Mammalia; Carnivora; Felidae
Exons: 6
Source: RefSeq, a predicted model, not a curated record